This is a long non-coding RNA of Hipposideros armiger (great roundleaf bat), 1028 nucleotides long. RefSeq lists it as uncharacterized. NCBI's taxonomy places the organism in Eukaryota, Metazoa, Chordata, Mammalia, Chiroptera, Hipposideridae. The record is from RefSeq and is a predicted model, not a curated record. The transcript is spliced from 5 exons.
UUUCCCAUACAAACUGUCUGUACUCUGGAGUAGAUAGUGGCUGGAGAUUUCUGCUUAUGUUUUGCCAGCCCUUUUGGUGUCUGAAUUUCUCUGCCUGGGGGCCUUGGCUGCUCAAAUGGAACAAAUGCACAGAAGUCACUGUUUGAUGCAACUUUUACGUUGACCGGUUCCUUUUUUCUCCGGACUGCUAGAAACAUAGCAACCUGUCAAUGUCACCCCCUGGGGGGAGCAUUUCUUCCAGCCCUUUCCCACCUAACAGUGCUGUGCUGCCCCCGCUGUGGCAGAAAUGCAUGUGCCGCUGGAAGGGGGGUGCCAGCCAUUGCAAAAUACCUGCUAUUUUUCUGUUGCCGUGUCAGGGACUUUGCAAAUAUUCUGUCACUGAUUUUCAAAUAGGCUCUCAACACUGUCCGGCUAGCCCACUCCUCUGCUGGGGCAUCAGUCCUUCUCUCAUGGUAUCAUCAAUGUUUGAGUGAAGGGCUCAGCUGAGCUGGAGACAGAGCCCUGUGUCAGAGGAGCUGAUAAAAGCAAGAAGCCCAACCUUUAAUCACUUGCUGCAUCAUAUAAGCAACAAGAUGCUUCUGCCCAUUUCCCCCCACCCAAGGAACCGUGCACUGGUCUGGGGUUAGAGCACUAUUUGAACUGGAGAGUUCGGGAUACAAGACAGCAUGCCCUGAGUCCUUCGGCUCUGAGGUCCUCUGAAAUCCGGAGCCAUGGAUAACUGAUUGUGUUCAAGUUCAAGUGCUCCCAUAGAAACAAAACUGGGGAAUGGAGUGAGCCUGUCUGUGAGCAGGCCAUCAGUGACGGGCUGAAACUGCACACAGGACGCUGCUCAGGGCUGAGGCGGACCACUUAGUCACCGAGGGUUUGCAGAGAGCUUCCUGAGUUCGUCACGCUGAUAUCACUAGCACUGCUUCUCUGCACUGCUUCCUGGAGGCACCCCCAUGUUGUAAUCGCCACAAAAACUUGCUCAGGUUUAAAACGGAAGCUAUCUGAGUGUGAUCUUGCCCUUGUUUAAAUAAAACAAACAC